Molecule: ribosomal RNA, 384 nt
Filed under: uncultured Oomycota
Lineage: Eukaryota; Oomycota
Description: eukaryotic LSU rRNA
Source: RNAcentral
UUUGAAAGAGAGUUAAAGAGUACCUGAAACUGCUGAAAGGGAACCGAAUCGUUUCCAGUGUCUAUAAUCUGUGGCAUAUUUCAUUGGCGAGUGUAUGCGUGCGUGUGCUUUGGCAGUGGCUUUUUUGGCUGCGCUGGGUGCGUGUUGUGCGUGUGUUUGCUGGUGCCCUGUGCUAUGGUGGGACGUCAAGGUCAGUUCGUGUGCUGCGGGAAAUGGCUGCUGAGGAGGUAGGGCUUACGCUUUGCGUUUGUCUAUUAUAUCUUGGUGGACGAGUCGUCGCGGUUGGGACUGAGGUGCCUACAACGUGCUUUUGAGUCUGUGGAACUCUCUGUGUGCGUGCUGUGUGGAUAGCUUGCUAUGUGCGUGGUGCUGUGCGUGGAUUAA